AGACUCAGCAUAUUCUGGAAGAUGGAGGCUUGUUGAAUUGCCUAAUAUACGAUGGAUAUGUCAAUCAUCCUACCACUAUUUAUAUAUUUGACUGAACAUACUCCAGGAUGUAUGGUUUUGGUCAAGGGAUAGAUAUGAGGAAAAGCAGGAAAUAGGGAUGGAACUUCCCAGGAUCUUCAAAUGCUGGUGUUUGACAGCAAGGAACUUUUCCAACGUGUUACACACAAAAUGAAACUGUUAGGGGCUUGUUUGGUUUGCUUUUCAUUUCUCCCUCCUUCUCUCAUUUCCAGAGUUGCUAUUAGCCUUGAUUCUCUCACAUGCUAGAGAGAAGGAGGAUAUCAAUACCAAAAAUCAAGGUUGAAGCCCAGUCUUCAAUGUGUGGGUCUUACCUGUUAUUUUUUAUUUAGUUUUUUGAAUGAUGACAGCAAUA
Molecule: long non-coding RNA, 430 nt
Filed under: Equus asinus (donkey)
Lineage: Eukaryota; Metazoa; Chordata; Mammalia; Perissodactyla; Equidae
Description: lncRNA (ENSEASG00005028830.1)
Source: RNAcentral